GCCGGAGUGGUGGAAUGGCAGACACAGCGGACUUAAAAUCCGCUGCCCGCAUGGGCGUGAGGGUUCAAAUCCCUCCUCCGGCACCA
This 86-nucleotide transfer RNA is filed under the name Candidatus Fermentibacterota bacterium. RNAcentral describes it as "Candidatus Fermentibacteria bacterium tRNA-Leu". It matches the Rfam family "tRNA". Rfam says of the family: Transfer RNA (tRNA) molecules are approximately 80 nucleotides in length. Lineage: Bacteria; Pseudomonadati; Candidatus Fermentibacterota. The record is from RNAcentral.